RNAcentral lists this long non-coding RNA (1411 nucleotides) under Canis lupus familiaris (dog). Its description in RNAcentral is "lncRNA (ENSCAFG00000059058.1)". Lineage: Eukaryota; Metazoa; Chordata; Mammalia; Carnivora; Canidae. The record is from RNAcentral.
UAUAAUGAUAUGAAUGUGAACAUUCCAGUGAAUGACUCCUUCUGUGAAUUAACUAUCGAAAGGUAAGUUGUUGAAAUUCCAGGCACCAUGAUGAUUUCAUACAAUAUUGUUUUACUUAAGGUCAAAGAGUUGUCUAGGAAAAGCUUUAUCUAUGCCAUAUCAAUGACUGCCUGCUGCAUGAGUGCUCCGUUCCAGUGAUCAUUUCUGCAGACAGUGUGUAGUUUUGAUUAUAAUACUCAUCCUUCCUUCAAGGGAUGCCCAUCUGGGACACUAAAUUUAUUUGCUAUGUUGGGGAAAGUCUUUAGAAAUAUAUGUAGGUGUUCACAUGGCAGCAUCACCAUUCACUUUCUCCUACAGAAACAGUGAGUGAUGGAUGAGUUUCCUGGUAGAAUAACAGUGGCUCAGCCCCAGUCUCCUUUCUUGCCCAAGGUCCCAGACAUUCACCCAAAUUGGAACUCUCCAUUCGGGCAUUCCAACUGAUUGGACCACGACUUUCUCAGACACACACGGCAGAGCUACGACUGGGCUUGCAUUAGACACUUUGUCUUCACCCAGCAAUUGUCCUACAAGAAAAAGGCAGGGGAGAAAUUUCUAAGUAGGAAGUGAGAAAAUGCACUCUCUUUCUUGUCCAACUCAUUCACUACCUAAUUGUUCCAUACUGUCAUCCUGAAUGCAGUCUCUGUUGUAUAAAAUGAAGCUGGACCAAAGGACUUCUAAGGGCUCUUCCACCUCUAAAUUUCUUUUAUACUACAUAACAAAGCAAAUAUUUAUUGAGACCUGGUUGUGUGCACUCUGGACUGGUGUCAUCAAGGGAUGAAACUGCUGGCAUCAUGGAACCCCAGGACCAUUUUCACAAACACAUGUGAUCUAGUGGUUUUGAUGUUGAUCCUAACCCACCCUGAGGCCUCCUCAGAAACUGGGACUUAGUCCUCAAAACCAGAUCCUCUCUUGGAUUUCAGUUCUCCUAUGACAUCGAAUAUCUAUCAAGGAGAACUAAAUCCAUAUUAACAUGGAAUAAAAUGGGACUGUAUUCACUGAGUGUCAAGUCCUUCACAGGCAGUGAGACCAGGGGGCUCCAUGGCUGAGCUUUAGGUAAGUAGGAUGUUCUUCUGGGGACAUAUUUCUUUACAUAGAUUACAUAUAUGGUACAGAAAAAUGGAAGAAUCUCCACAUACGAAACAAUCUAGAGGAGGUGGAUGAGCUAUUAAUACGGUAAUUGAGAAGCAAGUUCUAAAACAGCCUAGUUACUUUCUGGAUCCAGCUUUCUCCUGAAAGCUUUAGUUUGAAGGUUUAAAAUGUCCAGCCAGAGAUGGUUCAAAAAUCUUCGAGAUCAUUUCAAAAUGAAAAUUGGAAAAAAAAAAAAGAAAAGAAAAGAAGAGAAAAUUGGGCAUCUUAUGUAAAAAAAAAAAAA